Molecule: unclassified non-coding RNA, 377 nt
Filed under: plant metagenome
Description: partial contains 5.8S ribosomal RNA, internal transcribed spacer 2, and large subunit ribosomal RNA
Rfam family: 5.8S ribosomal RNA (bases 1-104)
Source: RNAcentral
AAAUGCGAUAAGUAAUGUGAAUUGCAGAAUUCAGUGAAUCAUCGAAUCUUUGAACGCACCUUGCGCUCCUUGGUAUUCCUUGGAGCAUGCCUGUUUGAGUAUCAUGAAAUCUUCAAAGUAAAUCUUUUGUUAACUCAAUUGGUUUCUACUUUGGUAUUGGAGGUCUUUGCAGCUUCACACCUGCUCCUCUUUGUUCAUUAGCUGGAUCUCAGUGUUAUGCUUGGUUCCACUCGGCGUGAUAAGUUAUCUAUCGCUGAGGACACUGUAAAAGGUGGCCAAGGUAAAUGCAGAUGAACCGCUUCUAAUAGUCCAUUGACUUGGACAAUACUUUUAUGAUCUGAUCUCAAAUCAGGUAGGACUACCCGCUUAACUUAAGC